CUUAGGGACUGACUAGAUGUUGAGGCUCCGCAGGCGCACAGUCGGUCAGUAAAGGUUUUCUUUUUCUUUUUACAUCUCUCUGCUGUGUCUUAACUCUCGGGACAACUUCGAACCUCCUGGAGGAUAAUGUCUGGACUCUUUGCUUUCACGCGUGUGUGACCGUCUCGACUCCGGUUGUGGAAGUUUACUCCUGCUGACAGGAUGACAACAAAAAUGUUGGGAGGAGGCCAUGGUAGGAGGUGCAGUCCUUGCUAGAUUCCCAUCUUCCUCAGUUUUACUCCUCCGCCAUCUCUGUUGACCUCCCCGCCGACUGGUGCCAUGGCCAACCACCUGGAAUUAAUGCAGGAGCUGCAGCAGCUGGACAAGGUGCCCAGUCUGGAGAGGCUGCGGGCAGCUCAGAAGCGCCGUACACAGCAGUUGAAGAGAUGGGCGGUAUAUGAGAAGGAGAUGCAGAACAAAAAGAGAAAGGCCGAUAAGAAAGGACGUUUUAUAAACCUCCAACAUUCAGAGCACAAGAAGCAUGUUUCAUUUUCUGCCAGCGUGGCCCUUCUGGAGGCUUCAACCAGG
Thalassophryne amazonica is the source of this 567-nucleotide long non-coding RNA. RefSeq lists it as uncharacterized. NCBI's taxonomy places the organism in Eukaryota, Metazoa, Chordata, Actinopteri, Batrachoidiformes, Batrachoididae. The transcript has 2 exons. The record is from RefSeq and is a predicted model, not a curated record.